Molecule: long non-coding RNA, 900 nt
Filed under: Citrus x clementina
Lineage: Eukaryota; Viridiplantae; Streptophyta; Magnoliopsida; Sapindales; Rutaceae
Description: Citrus clementina (C. clementina) long non-coding RNA (CCLE_LNC002163)
Source: RNAcentral
CCCCACCAAGGCUAUAGCCCACCCGUUUUUUGGCCAUUUUUCCGCUGGGGGGUCUUGGCGCCCCAACGGAAAGGGGGCUGAUUUUUGGGCGCGGCUGUGCCCGUGGCCUAUUUUUGGCACACGGAGGCCGCCCGCAAAGUCUGGGGCCAUUCCGAGUCCGGCGGACGAACUUCGCCCACGCCCCCCACCAAGGCUAUAGCCCACCCGUUUUUUGGCCAUUUUUCCGCUGGGGGGUGUUGUUACCCCGACCUUCGGGCGCUCAUUUUUGGGCGCGGCUGUGCCCGUGGCCUAUUUUUGGCACACGGAGGCCGCCCGCAAAGUCUGGUGCCAUUCUCAUGUUCCAAAGGAGCUUGGGGGCCUUUUUGAACCCUUAAUUUUACAUUUUUCUCAUGUUUUGAUACAUUUUUUGUACCACGAACUUUUUAAACUAAUUUUUUUUACCCUAAGACGUUUUAAUUUUGAUUCGACCACAAAAAACAACUUAAAUAUCCGAUUACGAUGUGAAAUCAUUAAUUAUUUGUUUUAUUAUUAAUUUACAUUUUACUUUUCCAUUUAAAUAAUAUUUGUGUCCAUAUUUACAACAAUAUAUGAUGGCUCAGCGGUGGGUUUGGAACUUUAUUUGUGAUUUUGACCUCCAUGUAAAGGGUUCAAGCUGCAGCUAAAUCUUUGUAUCUUCUUUUCAAAUAUUAAGGCAACUUCCUGCGCAGGUAGCCUCCACUGAACUGCGGGAAAGGGCAACGGGUAGGGGACAAGCAAUCGGGUUUUUUUGGGGUAGAUUUUAUAUACAGACGCAGAGCAUAGGGAGACGGACUGAGCUGAUAAGCGUCGGACUUGUUUGGAAGGCCUAGAUUUUUUGCAUGGAUGCAGAAAAUGGGAUGGCGGACAUGGAGAACUAAGUUU